Molecule: ribosomal RNA, 727 nt
Filed under: marine sediment metagenome
Description: LSU rRNA
Rfam family: Bacterial large subunit ribosomal RNA
Source: RNAcentral
AUUCCGGUACUACCAGAUUAUCGCUUUAAGUGAUGGGGGGACGCAGGAAGGUAGGUCAGCACGAUAAAAGUUACGUGUCCAAGCCUGAUAUGGGAGAAGAUAGGAAAAUCCGUCUUCUAUUAAAACCCUAAGAGGUGAUAGGGAGCUGCUAUGGCAGCGAACUGAUCGAUCCUACACUGCCAAGAAAAACCUCUAAACAAGAUAACCUGGUAUCCGUACUAAAACCGACACAGGUAGGUAGGUAGAGAAUACCAAGGCGCUCGAGAUAACCCUCGUUAAGGAACUCGGCAAAAUGACUCCGUAACUUCGGGAGAAGGAGUGCCCCGGUAGGGUGAGUUGAUUUACUCAUACAAGCCCGAAGGGGUUGCAAAGAAACGGCCCAAGCGACUGUUUACUAAAAACACAGGUCUCUGCUAAAUCGAAAGAUGAUGUAUAGGGACUGACGCCUGCCCGGUGCUGGAAGGUUAAGGAAGGAGGUUACCCCUCAUCACUGAGGGGGAAGCUUCUGACCGAAGCCCCAGUAAACGGCGGCCGUAACUAUAACGGUCCUAAGGUAGCGAAAUUCCUUGUCGGGUAAGUUCCGACCUGCACGAAUGGCGUAACGAUUUGGGCACUGUCUCAACGAGGGACUCGGUGAAGUUGUAGUGUAAGUGAAGAUGCUUACUACCCGCGACAGGACGGAAAGACCCCGUGAACCUUUACUGUAGCCUGAUAUUGAACUUUAGCA